GACGAACGCUGGCGGCGUGCUUAACACAUGCAAGUCGAACGGAAAGGCCUUGCUUUUGUGGGGUGCUCGAGUGGCGAACGGGUGAGUAACACGUGAGUAACCUGCCCUUGACUUUGGGAUCACUUCAGGAAACUGGGGCUAAUACCGGAUAGGCGCUCCUGCUGCAUGGUGGGGGUUGGAAAGUUUCGGCGGUUGGGGAUGGACUCGCGGCUUAUCAGCUUGUUGGUGGGGUAGUGGCUUACCAAGGCUUUGACGGGUAGCCGGCCUGAGAGGGUGACCGGCCACACUGGGACGGAGAUACGGCCCAGACGCCGACGGGAAGCAGCAGUGGGGAAUAGUGCACAAUGGGCGGAAGCCUGAGGCAGCAACGCCGCGUGCGGGAUGACGGCCUUCGGGUGGUAAACCGCUUGCGCCUUUGACGAAGCGGGAGUGACGGUAAUGGGUAAAGAAGCACCGGCUAACUACGUG
RNAcentral lists this ribosomal RNA (468 nucleotides) under uncultured bacterium. Its description in RNAcentral is "partial 16S ribosomal RNA". It matches the Rfam family "Bacterial small subunit ribosomal RNA", at positions 28 to 507 of the family's 1533-position model. The record is from RNAcentral.